This 490-nucleotide ribosomal RNA is filed under the name uncultured bacterium. RNAcentral describes it as "bacterial SSU rRNA". It matches the Rfam family "Bacterial small subunit ribosomal RNA", at positions 15 to 518 of the family's 1533-position model. The record is from RNAcentral.
GAUUAUGGCCCAGGAUGAACGCUGGCGGCGUGCAUAACACAUCAAGUCGAACGGGCAGUAUUCCGUUCGGGGGUGCUGCUAGUGGCGGACGGGUGAGUAACGCGUGAGCAACCUGCCUCUGUGAGUGGAAUAACACAGGGAAACUUGUGCUAAUACCGCAUGACGAAGCGAAGCCGCAUGACUUUGCUUCCAAAGAUUUAUCGCACAGAGAUGGGCUCGCGUCCGAUUAGGCAGUUGGUGAGGUAACGGCUCACCAAACCGACGAUCGGUAGCCGGACUGAGAGGUUGAACGGCCACAUUGGAACUGAGAUACGGUCCAGACUCCUACGGGAGGCAGCAGUGGGGAAUAUUGGGCAAUGGGGCGCAAGCCUGACCCAGCGACGCCGCGUGAGGGAAGAAGGUCUUCGGAUUGUAAACCUCUUUGACAGGGGACGAAGUAAGUGACGGUACCCUGAAAACAAGCCACGGCUAACUACGUGCCAGCCGCCGC